This is a small nucleolar RNA of Thalassophryne amazonica, 79 nucleotides long. RefSeq annotates it as small nucleolar RNA SNORD100. The transcript has a single exon. NCBI's taxonomy places the organism in Eukaryota, Metazoa, Chordata, Actinopteri, Batrachoidiformes, Batrachoididae. The record is from RefSeq and is a predicted model, not a curated record.
UGUAUCAGUGAUGACAAUUUGGCUCCCUCUACUGAAUACUGUGAGGAGAUCGCCAACGUUACCAUUUGUCUGAGAUGCA